GACGAACGCUGGCGGCGUGCUUAACACAUGCAAGUCGAACGGAAAGGCCCUGCUUUUGUGGGGUGCUCGAGUGGCGAACGGGUGAGUAACACGUGAGUAACCUGCCCUUGACUUUGGGAUAACUUCAGGAAACUGGGGCUAAUACCGGAUAGGAGCUCCUGCUGCAUGGUGGGGGUUGGAAAGUUUCGGCGGUUGGGGAUGGACUCGCGGCUUAUCAGCUUGUUGGUGGGGUAGUGGCUUACCAAGGCUUUGACGGGUAGCCGGCCUGAGAGGGUGACCGGCCAAAUUGGGAAUGAGGUACGGCCCAGAAUCCUAAGGGAGGGAGGAGUGGGGAAUAAUGCACAAUGGGCGGAAGCCUGAAGCAGCAACGCCGCGGGGGGGAUGAAGGCCUUCGGGUUGUAAACCGCUUUCGCCUGUGACGAAGGGUGAGUGACGGUAAUGGGUAAAGGAGCACCGGCUAACUACGUG
RNAcentral lists this ribosomal RNA (468 nucleotides) under uncultured bacterium. RNAcentral describes it as "partial 16S ribosomal RNA". It matches the Rfam family "Bacterial small subunit ribosomal RNA", at positions 28 to 507 of the family's 1533-position model. The record is from RNAcentral.